This 72-nucleotide transfer RNA is filed under the name bacterium. RNAcentral's name for it is "tRNA-Arg". It matches the Rfam family "tRNA". Rfam says of the family: Transfer RNA (tRNA) molecules are approximately 80 nucleotides in length. Their secondary structure includes four short double-helical elements and three loops (D, anti-codon, and T loops). The record is from RNAcentral. RNAcentral also lists the same sequence under 1 other name.
GUCUCCGUCGUUCAAUGGAUAGGACAUGAGAUUGCGGAUCUUAAAAUGUAGGUUCGAUUCCUACCGGAGACA